Molecule: ribosomal RNA, 497 nt
Filed under: uncultured bacterium
Lineage: Bacteria
Description: partial 16S ribosomal RNA
Rfam family: Bacterial small subunit ribosomal RNA
Source: RNAcentral
GAUGAACGCUGGCGGCGUGCCUAAUACAUGCAAGUCGAGCGAACAGACGAGGAGCUUGCUCCUCUGACGUUAGCGGCGGACGGGUGAGUAACACGUGGAUAACCUACCUAUAGGACUGGGAUAACUUCGGGAAACCGGAGCUAAUACCGGAUAAUAUAUUGAACCGCAUGGUUCAAUAGUGAAAGACGGUUUUGCUGUCACUUAUAGAUGGAUCCGCGCCGCAUUAGCUAGUUGGUAAGGUAACGGCUUACCAAGGCAACGAUGCGUAGCCGACCUGAGAGGGUGAUCGGCCACACUGGAACUGAGACACGGUCCAGACUCCUACGGGAGGCAGCAGUAGGGAAUCUUCCGCAAUGGGCGAAAGCCUGACGGAGCAACGCCGCGUGAGUGAUGAAGGUCUUCGGAUCGUAAAACUCUGUUAUUAGGGAAGAACAAAUGUGUAAGUAACUAUGCACGUCUUGACGGUACCUAAUCAGAAAGCCACGGCUAACUACGUG